This 460-nucleotide non-coding RNA is filed under the name Myotis lucifugus (little brown bat). RNAcentral describes it as "Eukaryotic large subunit ribosomal RNA". It matches the Rfam family "Eukaryotic large subunit ribosomal RNA", at positions 24 to 463 of the family's 3401-position model. The record is from Rfam by way of RNAcentral. Lineage: Eukaryota; Metazoa; Chordata; Mammalia; Chiroptera; Vespertilionidae.
CCCGCUGAAUUUAAGCAUAUUAGUUAGCGGAGGAAAAGAAACUAACCAAGAUUCCCUCAGUAACGGCUAGUGAAGAGGGAAGAGCCCAGCGCCGAAUCCCCGCCCCAUGGUGGGGCACGGGAAAUGUGGCUUAGGGAAGACCCACUCCUCGGCACUGCUCGUGGGGGGCCCAAGUCCUUCUGAUCGAGGCCCAGCCUGUGUGGACGGUGUGAGGCGGAUAGAACCCCUGGCGUGAUGGGCCCGGGUCUUCCGGAGUCGGUUUGUUGGGAAUGCAGCCCAAAGUGGGUGGUAAAUUCCCCGCUAAACUCUAAGGCUGAGUAACUGCAUGAGACUGAUAGCCAACAAGUAUCAUAAGGGAAAGUUGAAAAGAACUUUGACGAGAGUUCAAGAGGGCCUGAAACCAUUAAGAGGUGUAAUGGGUGGAGUCUGCCCAGUCCGCCCUGAUGAUUCAACCUGGCGG